UUCUCGCUCGCUCUAGAUUCUGUGAGAUUUUAAGUAAUUUGCGGGCAUCAGGGAGCCGCUAUCAAUAUGGGGGAGACUCCCGGACCUCCUGAGAGACUUGGGAUGUCUGGUCUACUAUAAAUUCCAUUAAGGUUACGUUAAAAAUCGCUUUCACACGGGGAGAGACUUCUGAAGUAAAAGCGAAAGUAAAUAGUUUGACUCCGUGACGCAUCUGACUUUGUUGUUUUGUAUCGAGGGCACACAGUUUGUAGCCUAAGAGAGACUCUCCCACUUCUGCUAGGAUGAGUGUCUCUCAGGAGAGAGAGGAGGCUGCAGGUCCCAGUAAAACACCCAGACCAGAGUCUGCAGCACACAGCUGUGUGCAACAAAGCAGCAAAGCAACACACUCUGAUGGAGGCCCACAGAGACACAGACCUCCAUCUCCAGUGCCCAGCUGUGUGUCCAUGAAGAGUGAUCGGUCCAUGGAUGUGAUGCCCACAUUUAGCAGUGAACCAGUUCCAUCAGGUCUACA
Long non-coding RNA from Sardina pilchardus (European sardine), 511 nucleotides. RefSeq lists it as uncharacterized. The record is from RefSeq and is a predicted model, not a curated record. The transcript is spliced from 3 exons. Lineage: Eukaryota; Metazoa; Chordata; Actinopteri; Clupeiformes; Clupeidae.